AGCDAGUUGGUAGAGCACUCGACUGUUAAUCGAGUUGUCACAGGUUCGAGUCCUGU
Molecule: transfer RNA, 56 nt
Filed under: Paenibacillus selenitireducens
Lineage: Bacteria; Bacillati; Bacillota; Bacilli; Caryophanales; Paenibacillaceae
Rfam family: tRNA
About the family: Transfer RNA (tRNA) molecules are approximately 80 nucleotides in length. Their secondary structure includes four short double-helical elements and three loops (D, anti-codon, and T loops).
Source: Rfam by way of RNAcentral